This is a long non-coding RNA of Panthera uncia (snow leopard), 825 nucleotides long. RefSeq lists it as uncharacterized. The transcript has 5 exons. The record is from RefSeq and is a predicted model, not a curated record. NCBI's taxonomy places the organism in Eukaryota, Metazoa, Chordata, Mammalia, Carnivora, Felidae.
CCUCGAUGAAUGUGAGAGUUGAGAAGCCUGCUGUGUCCAACUCUGCCUCAACUAUUUAGGAGGCUGUGAAUUCAGUUGUCAGGAAGGCUUUCGAAUCACUUCUGAUGGUUGUGGAUGUGAUGGUGUGGAUGAGUGUCUGGAUGUCAGUAGAGUCUGUGACCAGCUGUGUAUGAACUCUGUGGGAACAUACGACUAUACCUGUGUGGAAGGCUCCAGAAUUGGAAGUGAUGGGAAAACUUGCAUCUCUUUAGAUGCUUACAAGCCGGAGGAAGAAGAAGAAUUGGAAGUUGUAAGGUUUCCAGGCCUUCUAUUCAAGAGCCCACCUCAACUGCUUCCUGAUGUUGCUACCGCUCUGCCUACCGCCUACACAGAUGAAGAUGAGGAGGACAGGAAACGCAUAUUCGAGAACUGACUGCCCUGCAUAAAAUUGUCUGGAGCCCCUGGUGUAUCCAGUCUACAGCUCUUGCAAUGCCACUGCCCUGGCAGCCUGCCCUCUCCAGCCAGUACUGUGAUUGCCAAGAAUCUGCGAAUAUGUUAUCUUACAUCGCAAAUGGGACUUCGAAGACAUGAUUAAGGAUUUUGAGAUGGAUUAUGUGGGUGUGUUCAAUGUAAUCACAAAGGUUCUCUUAAGAAGGAGGCAGGAAAUCAGAGGAAAAAGAAGAAGAAGAAGCUAAGUUGCUGUCUAGGAAGAUGGAGAAAGAGGCCACAAGGAAUGGAGGUGGCUCCUAGAAGCCGGAAAAGGAAAUAGAUCCCCCCCACAAGUCUCCCGAAGGAACACAGCCCUGUCAUCACCUUGAUUUUAGACUUCUGACCUCCAGAACUGUG